Serendipita sp. 399 is the source of this 90-nucleotide non-coding RNA. The record is from the annotation of a GenBank genome assembly. Lineage: Eukaryota; Fungi; Basidiomycota; Agaricomycetes; Sebacinales; Serendipitaceae.
GCCCGGUUAGCUCAAUCGGUAGAGCGUGAGACUUUUACCUCAGGAGGAAAGGUCAUCUCAAGGUUGCGGGUUCGACCCCCGCAUCGGGCU